UCGAGAAUCUUCCGCAAUGGACGAAAGUCUGACGGAGCGACGCCGCGUGGUGGAUGAAGCACUUUGGUGCGUAAACACCUUUUAUGAGGGAGGAAUUUUAUUGACGUUACCUCAUGAAUAAGGGGCUCCCAACUCUGUGCCAGCAGGAGCGGUAAUACAGAGGCCCCAAGCAUUAUCCGGAUUCACUGGGCGUAAAGGGUGCGUAGGCGGUGUUAUUAGUCGGGUGUUAAAUCCUGGGGCUCAACCUCAGAAUCGCAUUCGAAACGGUAACACUAGAAGAAGUCAGAGGUGAACAGAACUCUCGGUGUAGGGGUGAAAUCCGUUGAUAUCGAGGGGAAUGCCAAAUGCGAAGGCAGUUCACUGGGGCUUUCUUGACGCUGAGGCACGAAAGCGUGGGUAGCGAAGCGGAUUAGAUACCCCCGUAGUCCCUGAGCGGGCUGGCAAGGCGCAU
This 451-nucleotide ribosomal RNA is filed under the name uncultured bacterium. RNAcentral describes it as "bacterial SSU rRNA". It matches the Rfam family "Bacterial small subunit ribosomal RNA", at positions 355 to 825 of the family's 1533-position model. The record is from RNAcentral.